RNAcentral lists this ribosomal RNA (497 nucleotides) under uncultured bacterium. RNAcentral's name for it is "partial 16S ribosomal RNA". It matches the Rfam family "Bacterial small subunit ribosomal RNA", at positions 28 to 507 of the family's 1533-position model. The record is from RNAcentral.
GAUGAACGCUGGCGGCGUGCCUAAUACAUGCAAGUCGAGCGAACAGACGAGGAGCUUGCUCCUUUGACGUUAGCGGCGGACGGGUGAGUAACACGUGGAUAACCUACCUAUAAGACUGGGAUAACUCCGGGAAACCGGAGCUAAUACCGGAUAAUAUUUUGAACCGCAUGGUUCAAUAGUGAAAGACGGUUUUGCUGUCACUUCUAGAUGGAUCCGCGCCGCAUUAGCUAGUUGGUAAGGUAACGGCUUACCAAGGCAACGAUGCGUAGCCGACCUGAGAGGGUGAUCGGCCACACUGGAACUGAGACACGGUCCAGACUCCUACGGGAGGCAGCAGUAGGGAAUCUUCCGCAAUGGGCGAAAGCCUGACGGAGCAACGCCGCGUGAGUGAUGAAGGUCUUCGGAUCGUAAAACUCUGUUAUUAGGGAAGAACAAAUGUGUAAGUAACUGUGCACGUCUUGACGGUACCUAAUCAGAAAGCCACGGCUAACUACGUG